This is a long non-coding RNA of Nerophis ophidion (straightnose pipefish), 476 nucleotides long. RefSeq lists it as uncharacterized. The transcript is spliced from 3 exons. Lineage: Eukaryota; Metazoa; Chordata; Actinopteri; Syngnathiformes; Syngnathidae. The record is from RefSeq and is a predicted model, not a curated record.
CACUUCCACCUGGUUCCCAUAACGAAGAUGGUUCGUCUGCAGGAGAUGUCGGCUGAUGGGAUACGACAAUAAGCUGUGCAUACCAAAAGAAGAGGGGGGCUGUCCAACCACUGAGGAGGAAGCAAUCCUACCCCCAAAAGACUGACACAACUUUCAAAAGAAGAGGAGGCAUCAUCAGGAGAUUGUGAAGUGAGGCAUUCUUCCAAAGGUAAAGCUGCCCAGAAAAGGCGACCCAGGACACUGAAAGAGGUGAAGGCUGUCGAUAAGCACAUGAAGCGAUUCAUCCCAUUUGGUAUUGUACCAGCAAAGAGUGGCUGUUUAAAAUGUUUGAGGGCCAAACCGGAAGCUCCCCAAAACCGGGAAUGGCAAGCAUUGAAUUUCUAUGUGUACAACCGCAUUACCGCUUUCAAAAGGAGAUUGCAGGUAAAAUAGUAGAUUAAGAGAAAAUCGGUAAGACUGGUUAAGUACAACAGUUU